UCCCUGGCGUGAGGGUAUGUGCCUUUGGACUACAUCGUGGAAGCCAGCACCAUGCAGUCCAUGGGCAUAUACACUUGCCUCAAGGCCUAUGUCAUC
MicroRNA precursor from Aotus nancymaae (Ma's night monkey), 96 nucleotides. Ensembl annotates it as microRNA 455. Its record names the gene MIR455. The record is from Ensembl. NCBI's taxonomy places the organism in Eukaryota, Metazoa, Chordata, Mammalia, Primates, Aotidae.